GAGGGGCAGCAGGAUCUAGCAAUAGAUUGCUGGCGACCGGCGCACGGGUGAGUAACACGUAUCCAACCUGCCGAUAACUCGGGGAUAGCCUUUCGAAAGAAAGAUUAAUACCCGAUGGUAUAAUCAGACCGCAUGGUCUUGUUAUUAAAGAAUUUCGGUUAUCGAUGGGGAUGCGUUCCAUUAGGCAGUUGGUGAGGUAACGGCUCACCAAACCUUCGAUGGAUAGGGGUUCUGAGAGGAAGGUCCCCCACAUUGGAACUGAGACACGGUCCAAACUCCUACGGGAGGCAGCAGUGAGGAAUAUUGGUCAAUGGACGAGAGUCUGAACCAGCCAAGUAGCGUGAAGGAUGACUGCCCUAUGGGUUGUAAACUUCUUUUAUAUGGGAAUAAAGUUUUCCACGUGUGGAAUUUUGUAUGUACCAUAUGAAUAAGGAUCGGCUAACUCCGUGCCAGCAGCCGCGGUAAUACGGAGGAUCCGAGCGUUAUCCGGAUUUAUUGGGUUUAAAGGGAGCGUAGGUGGACAGUUAAGUCAGUUGUGAAAGUUUGCGGCUCAACCGUAAAAUUGCAGUUGAUACUGGCUGUCUUGAGUACAGUAGAGGUGGGCGGAAUUCGUGGUGUAGCGGUGAAAUGCUUAGAUAUCACGAAGAACUCCGAUUGCGAAGGCAGCUCACUGGACUGCAACUGACACUGAUGCUCGAAAGUGUGGGUAUCAAACAGGAUUAGAUACCCUGGUAGUCCACACAGUAAACGAUG
RNAcentral lists this ribosomal RNA (753 nucleotides) under uncultured bacterium. RNAcentral describes it as "bacterial SSU rRNA". It matches the Rfam family "Bacterial small subunit ribosomal RNA", at positions 64 to 811 of the family's 1533-position model. The record is from RNAcentral.